GUUUUUUGUUUUGUUUUGGGGCUUUUUUGUUUUUUAAUUUUAACAAAUUUUUCAGCUUCAGCUACAUGUUUGUUCGAUGCAGAUGACGGGAGAACUGUUUCUUUUAUUUUGAUGAAGAGAAACUUUGAUUUUUCUUAAGGAUGAGCUCCUCCACAUUGUCCAUAAAAAUUGGAUGUAUUUAAAUUUUUAUUCACAUCUAACUUCAGAUACAUAGGAUUUGGUAAUUCAGCCAUUGCUGUAGAUUUAAAACUUGAUUUACAGGAAAUUUACGUUGCUUAAUUUAGGCAGUACAACAGGUUUUGACCUUUAGGAGAGAGCCAAUUCUGGAGAACAACCUAACUUCUUUGAUUGAACAUUCACAUAAUGCAUUGGAACAUGAUAGGAGAUUAAGCUGGGGGAGCAGGGGCUGGGAGAUUGCUGCUGCUUGUCAGCUGUUGUACAGAAUAGCAUCAAUAUGCAAUAAUGGUGGCCAAAGGAGCCUGCACCCACCAGCUUUCACAGACCAGGUUUAAUGAUAGAAUGAAGACCAUAAUAGAACAGUUCCCCUACGUAGCCCAGCAAUUCUUAUGUUAUACGCAUUCUUACCUACUUGCUGAAGAGGUCUUUUGA
Molecule: long non-coding RNA, 609 nt
Filed under: Canis lupus familiaris (dog)
Lineage: Eukaryota; Metazoa; Chordata; Mammalia; Carnivora; Canidae
Description: lncRNA (ENSCAFG00845022475.1)
Source: RNAcentral